UAGGGAAUCUUCGGCAAUGGGGGGAACCCUGACCGAGCAACGCCGCGUGAGUGAAGAAGGUUUUCGGAUCGUAAAGCUCUGUUGUUAAGGAAGAACGAGUGUGAGAAUGGAAAGUUCAUACUGUGACGGUACUUAACCAGAAAGGGACGGCUAACUACGUGCCAGCAGCCGCGGUAAUACGUAGGUCCCGAGCGUUGUCCGGAUUUAUUGGGCGUAAAGCGAGCGCAGGCGGUUAGAUAAGUCUGAAGUUAAAGGCAGUGGCUCAACCAUUGUAGGCUUUGGAAACUGUUUACCUUGAGUGCAGAAGGGGAGAGUGGAAUUCCAUGUGUAGCGGUGAAAUGCGUAGAUAUAUGGAGGAACACCGGUGGCGAAAGCGGCUCUCUGGUCUGUAACUGACGCUGAGGCUCGAAAGCGUGGGGAGCGAACAGG
This 429-nucleotide ribosomal RNA is filed under the name Bacteroidota bacterium. RNAcentral's name for it is "Bacteroidetes bacterium partial 16S ribosomal RNA". It matches the Rfam family "Bacterial small subunit ribosomal RNA", at positions 355 to 776 of the family's 1533-position model. Lineage: Bacteria; Pseudomonadati; Bacteroidota. The record is from RNAcentral.